CGGCUACAUUACUUUUAAACAUCGCUCCCCAUAAGAUCACCGAAGUUAAACAACGUCGAGCCUGGUCAGUACCUAGAUGGGUGACAGCUUGGGAAUACCAAUUGCCGUAAG
Non-coding RNA from Acanthosepion pharaonis, 111 nucleotides. Lineage: Eukaryota; Metazoa; Mollusca; Cephalopoda; Sepiida; Sepiidae. The record is from the annotation of a GenBank genome assembly.